RNAcentral lists this long non-coding RNA (451 nucleotides) under Astyanax mexicanus (Mexican tetra). RNAcentral describes it as "lncRNA (ENSAMXG00005002508.1)". The record is from RNAcentral. Lineage: Eukaryota; Metazoa; Chordata; Actinopteri; Characiformes; Acestrorhamphidae.
UGUGACUCCGGAUAAUAAAGGUAGCCAGCCUCAUACAGACCAACCAGAACAGCUGCCAACAUGAAGCUUCUGGUGUGUGCCCUCGUACUGGUGCUGGUGUGCAGUGAGACUGUGCAUUCCCUCAAGUGUUUCACUUGUGUGAACGGGAACUGUAAGACUGCUACAGAAUGCCCAGAAUCAAGCAACUUCUGCAAAACCGUGGUGGGAUACGACUCCCUCAGUCGGACCUGUGAGGAGUUCUGUGUGCCUGGAGUUAAUAUCUACUGCUGCCAGGAGGAUCUGUGUGGCUGAGACCCAGCUAACCUCUGCAAUACUGCUGAAUCAUGAGCUUAAUCAAAGAGUUAUAAUAAUAAUAACCAUAUAAAAAUGACCAUAAUCCUCCUAAUUAACUGUAUCCAAUGAUUCCUAAUGCUUGAAUAAAAGCCUGCAGCAUCUAUUUUCUUCUUUUAGA